RNAcentral lists this transfer RNA (61 nucleotides) under Modiolus philippinarum. Its description in RNAcentral is "tRNA-Thr". Lineage: Eukaryota; Metazoa; Mollusca; Bivalvia; Mytilida; Modiolidae. The record is from RNAcentral.
GUUUUAAAAGCUUUUAGAAGCACUGGUCUUGUAAACCAAAGAAGGGCUAACCCUUAAAACU